CUCUGGGCUUCUGUCGUGAGUGGGAACAGCAUCUGCGUAGUCGCCGCCGAGGCCGAUGGCAGCCAUGUGCAGGGUUUGAAGAUCAGCCUCUCCACUCAGCAGAUCGAGUCGAGCAGCGACCUUCCCCAGGCCAUCGGCACCGGACUCCGACGCGGUGCUUUCA
RNAcentral lists this non-coding RNA (163 nucleotides) under Crypthecodinium cohnii. Lineage: Eukaryota; Dinophyceae; Gonyaulacales; Crypthecodiniaceae. The record is from RNAcentral.